Molecule: ribosomal RNA, 356 nt
Filed under: Sicyonia burkenroadi
Lineage: Eukaryota; Metazoa; Arthropoda; Malacostraca; Decapoda; Sicyoniidae
Description: partial 16S ribosomal RNA
Source: RNAcentral
AUAAUCAUUAGUCUUUUAAUUCAAGGCUGGAAUGAAUGGUUGGACAAAAAAUAAGCUGUCUCAGUUAUAAUUAUUGAAUUUAACUUUUAAGUGAAAAGGCUUAAAUAGUCUAAGGGGACGAUAAGACCCUAUAAAGCUUUACGAUUUGUUUAUUAAAUCAAAAAUUGUAAGUAUAAAUUUUAUUUAAUAGACAUUUGUUUCGUUGGGGCGACGAGAAUAAAAUUUAGUAACUGUUCUUUUAGAGUAUAACAAUUAUAAUUGAAGGAAAAUUGAUCCCUUAUUAAGGAUUAAAAAUUUAAGUUACUUUAGGGAUAACAGCGUAAUCUUUUUUGAGAGUCCAUAUCGAUAAAAAGGGU